ACACACACACACAGGGCUGCCCAUAUGCGUAUGCACAUGAUCUUGGCCGCGCCGGGGCAGCCGGUGGUGUUCCGUGCCCUGUCCAGUCCGUGUCUGGUCUCGUCCGCUAAAGGGAUGUUGUUUCCAACUGUCGCUGGGUCGAUGUCACGCACGCAGGUCAGCACAUGUGAACAGUGUUUUGUUGCUGCUGCCCAAAGUGGGCAACGGUAGUCCGUGAACUGGCCUUUGGAUGGUUACACAUUUGUCACCGUGAUUCGGAUGCGAUGGAUGUUAGGAGUAAGGUGCAGCACUUAAGGAAGCCGAAGCAAAACGACACACCCCAUCAAAAGCGAAAACAAAACAACUGCACCAUCGGCUCAACUCAAUUGAGGCAAAUUGUUGCGCUGCGUCAGUGGCCGCUGGCAAGGGAGAAGUUGACUGGCCCUGUAAGCUCCGAUUUCCUGGAUGCAGCGACCGGACGACAAUGAACUUGACGAGUCAUUUUGGAUCGUAUGUCACACUCCAAAGAGGCAAUGUUUUUUCUCUUUUUAUUAUGAUUUAACUUACGUCUAACGCUUCUACUGCUGCAUUUUGUCUACCAAACUAAACCACUUUACUGAAACGAACCACGAACAAUCCUGCUCACUUCAACGACCUCAUCGGGCAUGGGUUGGCCCAUUUCUUCCCUGACCGAUCUGUCUUAGCCGACGAUGGCGAACGUUCGCAUCACGACUAACCAGGAGCUCAGCAUCAGCAUCAGCCAGCUGGUAAGCUGCACCUCGACUGCAACAUUGUAGAAGCCACCGAACACUUGCAGAUUGGCCGUCUCGAUGCUGUGCUUGCAGUAGUCACCAUCGUAGAUCCAGCCGACGUACUCGUUGUUGCGCAGGUUCUCAUUCCGCAGCCAUUCCUCGAGCGGUCGGAAAAACUCACGCAAUGCCGACCCGUCCAGCCGGCCCUCGCCGAUCACCUCCUGCAGGACCUGCUGCCACGGUUGUGACGUUCCGCGUUCCAUCAGCUUUCUAUGUAUUUGCAGAAAGGGGGCCAGAUGAAGAGAGAAAAAAAAGAUCAGUGAUCGGUUAAAUUGAAGAAAAUGGAUUGUGCCAGAGCAGUGUGUGUGGGUUGUAAAUUAAAUUGGCCACUAGCGUGAAGCAGAUCAGUUAGUGCACAAAAGGUGCGCUAAAAGGCAUCGCUAAUGCAAGGAUAAGGAGCGCUCAAUCGGUGUUCAUUAAGAUCUCCCCGUGUUUUGCCCGGUGGCGUUGUUCUUGAAGUGUUUUCUUAUUUUCGCAAGUCAGCAGUACUUACGAUCAUUCUAUACCGUGUGCGCAAUAUCUUAUCCCAUCUCCCUUUGCAGCACGCGCAACACCUGCAGCGAUGCACUCAUUGCACCCAAGUGACCGGGAGCAGCGUACUGCAAUGACGACGCCGACGACUCGGUCUCGGUACGCAUUACGCAACCGUGGUAGCAUUCGCCGUGGCUGCUUAGCUUCCCUGCGUUCCCAAGCGGGUGCAAAUCAAACGUCAAAAAACCACAAUUACCCCGUCCAAUGGAUCAGCCGCACGGCGCGAAACUGCUUUCGCUUUUCUACGCCAGAUGAUCCACUUGACGGGAAGAAUUAUAGUCCAACGCGAUGGAUGAAUGGCCUUCGCAGAAGGAGGCUAUUCGUUUAAAACCUGUCACAGAUUCUGGAGAUACUAGUUGAAUAUUGUUUAUUUUUUAAUUUGAAAUUCAUUUGAAAAUGGCUAUAUAUGUGGCAGUAUUAUUUUAAAAUAAAGCAAAAGUCAUAAUAAUAUGUAAUUAUCGAUUCAAAAUCAAUUCCGUGUUCUUCAUUGUUGAAGAUAUUAUUACUUACUGGAAAAAUUAAUGAUUAAAUUUGAAAUCUACUAAAGAGACAUGAGAACAUAUUACAAAAAUUGUGUAUGUAAAGCCUCCUACAGCGAGACAUUUUUGUAAGGAUUUUUAAGUUUUUGAAAUAAAUUUAGAGGAAUUGGUAGUGGAUGAUUAAAAAUGAUUGAUUUGGUCUACAAUAAACUCAAACAUAGUAACAGUUGAUCAGUUUAAAAUAA
This is a long non-coding RNA of Anopheles gambiae (African malaria mosquito), 2046 nucleotides long. RefSeq lists it as uncharacterized. Lineage: Eukaryota; Metazoa; Arthropoda; Insecta; Diptera; Culicidae. The transcript has 2 exons. The record is from RefSeq and is a predicted model, not a curated record.